Molecule: non-coding RNA, 4413 nt
Organism: Oryza sativa Japonica Group (Japanese rice)
Lineage: Eukaryota; Viridiplantae; Streptophyta; Magnoliopsida; Poales; Poaceae
Source: RefSeq, a predicted model, not a curated record
AUCAAUUUCUCCAAUUCGUCGCUCUCCUCGCCUGCGCACCGCAGGCGGCGGCGGAAGCGGAACUGCUUGUCUGCUUCUGCGAGUGCGAGUGCGAGUGCGAGUGCAGCCUGCAAUUUGGGGGGAAUCGCAGCGCCGUCACCGCAGGAGCGGGAGCUAGGAUGGAGAAGAAUAAGUACAUCGGAGGGGGAUAUCUUCUUUCAGAAGAGGAAGCGAUUUGAGGAGGACGAGUGGACAACUAUGUUAUUGUAUCUUCUGACAAGAGAGUACAACAUGUGAAAAGUGAUAUAGUUGUUAAGGAUGUGAAACUGUGAAAGAAAGUUUGGGUUUGCUCAGAGGCUCUAGGAGGAAGUCAAUUGAUAGAUGAAGCAAAAGAAAUGGCAAGGAAGAAGGAUCUAGAGCUAGAAGCAGGUACAUCUAUUUCAGUUUGCUUUGCUCUCUACUUCUAAUGAUUUCUUAUUGUCCGUGUUAGAUGUUUAGAAAUUAAGGGUGGCAGUGGGUCUCAGAGUAUGCAACCUGUGGAAAUGAUGAACAUCAUUGAGCAAACAAGGGUAAACUUGUAAAUGAGUACAGUUAAACAACCCCAGCAUAAGCAUCCCUGCGACUCAGAUCAAGUUGACCUUGGUACUGAAAUGUCACAGAGGAGCUUAUUGCAGACAAUGUAGAUGAUGAAAUUCACCUUGAGGAAGUAAAUGAUAGUACUUUGAAUGAGAGCAGCUUCCCCUGGUAAGCAAGUAAGAAACCAAGGGGGGAGGGUCACCAGGGGUGGGCCCAAAGUUAAAAAGGAAAGGAAAAAACAGAAUAUAACUCAUAAUAUACCAUGAACAGUCUACUUGCUACGAUAACAUUAUGAACAUGCCAAGCAUUUGGGGAUCUAGAGAAAGUGUAAAGAGAAAGAACAACAGUAGGUAGGGGGUUAGAAUUUCCAUUUUGUCCACAAUGUACUACACAAUAUCUCUUCUUUGUUGCCUCCAAUUUGGGCCUACAUGGCUACUCCCCACCAAACUCAUGCUCUCUUAUAUUACAAGACCCAUCAUGUCCCGAAUUCAAAUUAUCAUUCUUUUCCACUCUUGCUGUUUCCUCUGUAUUCUUAGUUUCUUACUCUGAACCUGUGGCUGUCUUUCCAUGGCUUCCAGCACUGCCAUGACAAUUUCUUGGAGAACUGACAGGAGAAACUUGAUCACUGGUUAGCAGGGAACCAUAGUACAUGAGUUCUCUUCAACUCUGCUUAAAAUGUGAAUGGCAAGAUUUGCUUGGCAUUGAGAUGGUGAGUUUUUGUGAUUUUUUUUAAUCAUUAAAGAAGACAGUAUAUUGAGUGUAACUUAGUAGUUGUUUAUGGAGCAGCUUAGUAAAAUGGAAAUAGAAAAUUCCUUACUGAGUUAGUCCAGAUAUGUAAUAAUACGCUGCAUCCGUAGGGAGUAAUUUUAGUAUUGUUAGAAGUGAAGAUGAGCAAAGCCUGGAAGUUUGUUCAGAUGGACUUUUCUUUUAAAAUUCUGCUGUAGAGCCUAAGAUUGAUUAUAGAUUGGCUUUUAAGUAGGAGACAUUUUACACCGUCUAAUAGCAUUUAACCAUUAGGAUCCUUGUAUGUAGCCUGAAUAGGAUUUUGAUGCGUCCUGUCUGGAAAUAUCAAUUUUCAUUUUUAGUAGUUACUUCCUCCGUUUCAUAUUAUAAGACUUUCUAGCAUUGCCCACAUUCAUAUAUAUGUUAAUGAAUCUAGACAUAUGUGUGCCUAGAUUCAUUAGCAUCUAUAUGAACGUGGACAAUGCUAGAAAAUCUUAUAACCUGAAACGGAGGUAGUAGAUCUUUGGAAAGAACCCUCUUAGAUCAUGCUUCUUCACUAAAUUGACACUAUAACUCAACUGCAGUUGAAUCCACAUUUUAAAUAUGAACUUUCCCAAAACACAAUUGUUUUGGGAAAGUUUUUUAUUUGAUUUUCAGUUUAUGUCAGCCUGUCUCAGGGACCAGUAAUAUUUGAUCAAUGGCAGGCACAACUGAGAAGGCUUAAAUAAUGUGUUUGUGUAAAAAGUUAUAUUAAUCGGUUUGAAGGAAAGUAUAAUGAAGUAAAACAAAAUUUGUUAAGACAAAUUGAUGUUUUAGACAAACAUUGUGAUGUUUUAGUUUUGUGUGUAUCAGUCAGGAACAGAGAGGUUCAUGUUGAGAAAUGUUUCGCACAGCUCUCAGAGAAGAGAGAAAGAAAGGGACAAAAUGAUCCAAAGUGAAGGUUUCAUUGAGGCCGGUAAUACAACAUAUUUACAAAUAGAUGUACGUGGGUAGGAUGGAAAGGGGCUGGUCUGAAACUUACGAACCUAAUUAAUUUGCGACUUUGGGGCCAAGAGGGCUUAUUUCAGUACAUCCUUGAAGCUCCCAAAGUUCAGAAAAUACCAUUUCCGUAUGAACUAAAUAGCCACUUCAGAUACCAUGUUUCUCUGGUUAGUAACCAGACAUUUGUAUUCUCUUAAACUAUAAUCUAGUUAGGAGAAGUUUGCAGGGCAAUGAGCAUUGUCAGUAUUGUGGGAAUGUUGAAAUAUUCAACCAUCUAUUUUCACAGGCCCUCUAGCAAGUUCGUCUGUUCAAUUUCAUUUGGCAUCCCUAACUUCCCAGCAAAUGCUCAUGACCUGGGCUGGAAAGUUUUUAAAUCAGAAAGAGAAGAGUUUGCAGUGGUUGGGGUGGCAGCUGUAUUGCUGUAAUGUGUCUCUUUGAAAUGCAGCCUAGCCUGUAGUGGUAUAAAAAAGGCUCCUGUUUUUCUCAGUAGUCAGUACAAAACUGUCUGAUCUCACCUCAGCAAUUUUCAUGUUUGUCAAUGACUUGAUUUUUGGGCAAUUAUGCAGAAUGCUUUGUCAGUGCUAGCACUAGCAGGAUGCUGCUGGUAGAGGUUUUCAGUGGUGAACUGGUACACAUGGAUGGAGAAUUGGCAGUGGCUCUAAACAAUGUAAAUUAUUUCAUAAUUGGCAGUGGCUUCAGAGGUUUGGGCAAUAAUAUAGCUUCUUCUGUUUCAUAAUGCAGGUUCUGUCCUGGGCUGUGGGCCUGUGUCCAAAUCUUAUUACUGCUGCAUUCUCCUGUUUUUGCAUGUACAAAAAAAAAAAAAAAAGAAUGUGCUAUGCGGUUGGCCAGGUGGCAGUUGGCUGUAUCUAACAUCUUUAGCAGACAGAUUAGUUUCUGUUUUCCUUUUGUUACAUGCUAUGUAAAAGUCAUAUGGUUUUUAUAAAGUGAAUACCUGUUUCUCCAUGGCUAGAAAUACAAAAUGUGAUCUGCAGUUUGCUUCUCUAAAUUUUACUAGCUUACCAAUUGAAAUUGUGGAUGAAGGUUUUGGUUUGCUCAUAAGAUCUAGGAGGGGGUCAAUUGAUAAAGGGAGCAACUUAGGACAUACGAAAGACCAUAUUCCUUAUUGAGUUGGUCCAGAUCUGCAAUAAAAAUAACUACCCUGUAUCUGUAGGGGUGAUUUUAGUAUUGUUAGAAGUGAAGAUGAACAAAGCACAUAAGUUUGUUCAGAUAGACUUCUAUUUUUAAAUUCUAUUAUAUAGCAUAGGAUUCUUUAUGGAUUGGCUUUUAAGUAGGAGAACUUUGUCCGAUCAUUUAACAUUAGGAUCCUUGUAUGUAACCUGGAGAGGAUUUUGGUGAGUCCAGUCUGGAAAUGUCAGUUUUUUUUUGUAGUAGUUAGAUCUUUGGAAAUAACCCUCUUGGAUCAUGCUUCUUUGCAAAUUGACACGAGAACUCAACUACACUUGAAUCCAUGUUUAAAUAUGAAAAUUGUGUUUUGAGAAAGUUAUGUAUUUGAUUUCAGACUGGAAUAUAGAGGCCCAUGUUGAGAAAUGGUUAACACAAUUCUCGAAGAAGAGAGAAAGUAAAGGAACGAAAUGAUCCAAGUGAAGGUUUCAUUGAGGCCAAUAAUAACAUUAUUUACAAAUAGAAAUAAAUGUUCGGAAGGGAAAUAGUUUUGCGGUGGUCGGGGUGGCAGCUGUAUUGCUGUGAUGUGUCUUUUUGAAAAUGCAGCCUAGCCUGUAGUGCUAAAAAAAAGCUCCUGUUUUUUUUCUCAGUAAAGAACCGUCUGAUCUCACCUCAGUAAUUUUUCACAUUUGCCAUUGAUUGAUUUUUGGCAAUUAUGCAGAAUGAUGUGUCAAGGCGCUGGCACUAGCAGGAUGCUGCUGGUGACUUUAGAGGUUUUCAAUGGUGUAACUGGUAGUGGUACACAUGGAUGUUGCCUCCUGGGUUGUGGUCAAAUCUAAUUGCUGUUGUUUCAUGAUGCAGUUUGCUGUGUCCAACAUCUUUAGCAAACUGAUCAGUUUCUGUUUUCCUUUUGUCGCAUUGCUGUGUAAAAAGUCAUAUGGUUUCUAUAAAGUGAAGACCUGUUUGGUUCACUAAAUUUUACUACUAGUGUAUCCGUUAUUGUUGUGGGAUAAGAUGAUCGUGUUUGAUUCA